This 253-nucleotide ribosomal RNA is filed under the name uncultured bacterium. RNAcentral's name for it is "partial 16S ribosomal RNA". It matches the Rfam family "Bacterial small subunit ribosomal RNA", at positions 524 to 776 of the family's 1533-position model. The record is from RNAcentral.
UACGUAGGGUGCGAGCGUUAAUCGGAAUUACUGGGCGUAAAGCGUGCGCAGGCGGUUUUGUACGCCAGAUGUGAAAGCCCCGGGCUCAACCUGGGAAUGGCAUUUGGGACUGCAAGGCUUGAGUGCGGCAGAGGAGACUGGAAUUCCUGGUGUAGCAGUGAAAUGCGUAGAUAUCAGGAGGAAUACCGAUGGCGAAGGCAGGUCUCUGGGCUGACACUGACGCUCAUGCACGAAAGCGUGGGGAGCAAACAGG